This 253-nucleotide ribosomal RNA is filed under the name uncultured bacterium. Its description in RNAcentral is "partial 16S ribosomal RNA". It matches the Rfam family "Bacterial small subunit ribosomal RNA", at positions 524 to 776 of the family's 1533-position model. The record is from RNAcentral.
UACGUAGGGGGCAAGCGUUGUCCGGAUUUAUUGGGCGUAAAGAGCGUUUAGGCGGUUUGGUAGGUCCGUUGUGAAAACUCGAGGCUCAACCUCGAGACGCCGAUGGAAACCAUCAGACUAGAGUCCGGAAGAGGAGAGUGGAAUUCCUGGUGUAGCGGUGAAAUGCGCAGAUAUCAGGAAGAACACCCGUGGCUAAGGCGGCUCUCUAGUACGGUACUGACGCUGAGACGCGAAAGCGUGGGGAGCGAACAGG